UAGCCGUAGCCUCUUCUUCCACCCCUGCUCUGUUUCCUCUCCUUCUCUUCCAACUGCAGCUACCACUACCGUAGCUGCCUCCCCUUCUCCUCUUCCUCUCCUUCCCUUGUUCCUUCCUCUCCCUCUUUCCUUGCCACAGCUGCAGCUGCCACAGCCGCAGCCGCUGCUACUUCUUUCCCUUCUCCUCUUCCUUCUCCUUCCUUUCUUCUUCUUCUCUUCUUCUCCUUCCUCCCC
This 234-nucleotide long non-coding RNA is filed under the name Musa acuminata (dwarf banana). RNAcentral describes it as "long non-coding RNA (MACU_LNC006992)". The record is from RNAcentral. Lineage: Eukaryota; Viridiplantae; Streptophyta; Magnoliopsida; Zingiberales; Musaceae.